AAUUAACUAUACAAAAGAACUAGCUGGCAGACCUGCAUUCCUGGCUAAUAGCUCAUCUAAAAAACUGCAGGGAGGGGAGAGGAGAUAGGAAGAGCAC
Molecule: long non-coding RNA, 97 nt
Organism: Chiroxiphia lanceolata (lance-tailed manakin)
Lineage: Eukaryota; Metazoa; Chordata; Aves; Passeriformes; Pipridae
Exons: 3
Source: RefSeq, a predicted model, not a curated record